RNAcentral lists this ribosomal RNA (95 nucleotides) under Jubula hutchinsiae subsp. pennsylvanica. RNAcentral describes it as "Jubula pennsylvanica partial 5.8S ribosomal RNA". It matches the Rfam family "5.8S ribosomal RNA", at positions 61 to 154 of the family's 154-position model. From Rfam's summary of the family: 5.8S ribosomal RNA (5.8S rRNA) is a component of the large subunit of the eukaryotic ribosome. The record is from RNAcentral. Lineage: Eukaryota; Viridiplantae; Streptophyta; Jungermanniopsida; Porellales; Jubulaceae.
CCUAGUGUGAAUUGCAGAAUUCCGCGAAUCAUCGAGUCUUUGAACGCAAGUUGCGCCCGAGGCUCGUCCCGAGGGCAUGCCUGCCUGAGCGUCCG